GCUCGGGUAGCUCAAUUGGUAGAGCACGGCACUUGUAAUGCCGGGGCUAUGGGUUCAAGUCCCAUCCCGAGCU
RNAcentral lists this transfer RNA (73 nucleotides) under Gemmatimonadota bacterium. RNAcentral's name for it is "Gemmatimonadetes bacterium (freshwater metagenome) tRNA-Thr". It matches the Rfam family "tRNA". Rfam says of the family: Transfer RNA (tRNA) molecules are approximately 80 nucleotides in length. Their secondary structure includes four short double-helical elements and three loops (D, anti-codon, and T loops). The record is from RNAcentral. Lineage: Bacteria; Pseudomonadati; Gemmatimonadota.